CUAAAAGAACUAGAAAAAGAAGAAACAAAGCCCAAAGCCAGUAGAAGGAAGGAAAUAAUUAAAAAAUCAGUGCAGAAAUAAAUGAAAUAGAGAUUAAAAAGACGAGAGAAAGGAUCAAUGAAACUAAGAGCUACUUCUUUGAAGAGAUAAAUAAAAUUGACAAACUCUUAGUUACUCAUUAAAAAAAAGAGAGAAGACUCAAAUAAAUAAAAUCAGAAAUGAAGGAGGAGAAAUUACAAUGGACAUGAUAGAAAUAUCAAGGAUUAUAAGAGAACACUAUUGAAAGCUAUAUGUCAACAAUUUGGAUAAUCUAGAAGAAAUGAAUAAAUUCUUAGAAUCAUAUAACCCUCCAAAACUGAAUCAAGAGGAAAUGAAGAAUCUGAAUAGACCAAUCACAAGUAAAAAGAUUGAAAUAGUAAACAUAAGCCUUCCCAAAAACAAAAGUCCAGAGCCAGACCACUUCCCUGGUGAAUUCUACCAAACAUUCAAAGAAGAUUUAAUACCUGUCCUCCUCAAACUAUUCUAAAAAUUGAAGAGGCCAAGACACUUUCUAACUCAUUUUAUCAGGCCAAAAUUACCCAAAUACCAAACUCAGACAAGAACAACACAAAAAAAUGAAAAUUACAGGCCAAAGUCACUGAUAAACAUAGAUGUAAAAACCCUCAACAAAAUAUUAGCAAAUUGAAUAAAACAUACAUUAAAAGGAUCAUACACCACAAUCAAGUGGGAUUUAUUCCAGAGAUGCAGGGAUGGUUCAACAUCUGCAAAUCAAUCAAUGAGAUACACCACAUUAACAAAAUCAAGAAAGCUUUAAUUUCCUCAUUUUUAAACUGCAACAAUACUAACACCUUUCUCAUGGAUUUGUUGUUGAUACAAAGAAAUAAAAUAUGAAGGCACCUAUGUAACAGAGUAUGUCUCAUCAAACUGAUAAAUUUGCUGUUUCCACAUUGUUUUUACUUAAUAAACCUUGCCGCAAUCUAGUGUAAGCUGAGGCACACUCAUACCUGAUAUCUCACUUGGGAGUCUCUGUUCACUGCUCAUUCUUGAGCUUUAUUCCUAGAAAACGCCAAAAACGUUGGUAAAAUGGACUUGCAUGACAGUUAGACCUGUUUCUUGAUGAGGACGCUGGGAACAACUCAAUGGAAGAUUUUUAUUCAAUUAAAAAAUGGGGGGAAAAUGCAGAGGACUGAACAGUGGUGUAAAUCAUGACACAUCAAAGAAGACAAGAUUCCUAAACCGGGAUUCAGUUCCUCACGCCUUCAGUGGGACUAAAGGCUUCAGUUCUUCAUCGGCUGUUGGUAAGAGACCACCCUUGUUCCUUGCCAUGAGUCCUCUCCAACACAGCAAUUUGCUUCAUCGAAGUGUGCAAGUAAGAAAAGUCAGAGAAAGAGAGAAAGCAUGAGGAAGAUUAGCCCUGAGCUAACAUCCAUGCACAUCUUCCUCAACUUUAUGUGUUGGACGCCUACCACAGCAUGGCUUGACAAGCGGCGCAUAGGUCCACGCUGGGAUCUAACUGGUGAAUCCUGGGCCACGGAAGCAGAAUACGUGAACUUAACCACCAUGCCACCAGGCCAGCCUGGGAAUCCACAGCUCUUGGUCCAAACCACCAACAUUCCAAGAAGUCAGUCAGGACAAAAAUAUCCUGUUUGUGAGGAAUGAUGAAACUGGACUUUGCUGAUGACCAAAUCUCAAGCCAUUCUAUGAAGUAUAAUCUUAGCCUUACCUCUUCUAACAUCAAUGGACUCUUCUUGAAUACAACUUACCUCAUCUUCCUCCCUUUUUCCCAUAAAAACUCUAAGCCCCUCUCCUAUAAUCAGGUAUAUUUGGAUUUAUAUCUGAAUCUGUUCUCCCUGAAUUGCAAUUCUUUGAUGCCAAAUAAACACUUUGC
RNAcentral lists this long non-coding RNA (1888 nucleotides) under Equus caballus (horse). RNAcentral describes it as "lncRNA (ENSECAG00000058440.1)". The record is from RNAcentral. Lineage: Eukaryota; Metazoa; Chordata; Mammalia; Perissodactyla; Equidae.